UUUGAUGAGAGUUUGAUCCUGGCUCAGGAUGAACGCUGGCGGCGUGCCUAAUACAUGCAAGUAGAACGCUGAAGGAAGUGCUUGCAC
RNAcentral lists this ribosomal RNA (87 nucleotides) under Streptococcus sp. 121. Its description in RNAcentral is "partial 16S ribosomal RNA". It matches the Rfam family "Bacterial small subunit ribosomal RNA", at positions 1 to 85 of the family's 1533-position model. RNAcentral also lists the same sequence under 1 other name. The record is from RNAcentral. Lineage: Bacteria; Bacillati; Bacillota; Bacilli; Lactobacillales; Streptococcaceae.